UUUAACCACAGCGCCACCUGGGUCCCAUCCAAAAUGGGAAAGUCUAUCAUUGAAGGACCAGCAUUGCAGCUAUUAUUAAAAAAAAUUAGCAGGCUUCAUUCCCUCAGAACAGGUGACCAUGCCUGCAAUUUGAAUCCAAUUCUGACACAAAAUGAAAACAUCUUGUUUUAAAAGUCAAGCUUUUAGGGUUUCCUGCAUGGAAACUAUUGGGUGUAUCUGUGUAAUAUUUGGUAGACUUAAUCCACUCUGAAGGAGCUGUUAUGCCUGAACAUUUUAUGCACCUUGGUGAAAAUGAAACAAGUUACCAGCCAUUUUUAGAUUCCCAUUUUAGAGUGGAUGGGCAACAAAUAGCUUUGUUUUAACAUACUGUACUUUUGUUCCUAUAGAACCAGUCAAACUGAUGCAGAGCAUUGCAGGCCACACUUGUUCGUACAGCUGUCUCUGUACACCAGUUGCUGAGAGUCGCAAGUGGGGAGAGAGCUGUUGUCUUCAGUUCCUGCCAUGGGCAUCUGGUUGGCCACUGUGAGAACAGGCUGUUGUGUAUCUCAUGUUCCAUUGAGAAGCCCAGUAGAGUGGCCAAAGUCCAGCUGUAGCCACGGUUUCCUUUGCAUUGACUUCUUUCUUCUGAACUGGUCUUGGCUGAGUAAUUAGACAGCACAGCGUAUUGGAUUAGCACACAUCAGUGAUGCAUAUUAAUCACAGAAAGGAGACAGAGCACUACGAGAUGCAACAGAAGCUCGGUGUUAAGAUCUGCUGAAGUGAAUCCACUACACUUAGAAGUCUGAGGUGGCAACGGCUUGGGAGAUGUAACCUGCCCUAAGAGAUUAUGGUGAGGGCAAAGCUGAACAAAGUACUUUUGCCAUAAGUGUUAAAAAUUAUGGCUCUCCUUCAAAAAGAGCAAAGGAAACUGGGAUUUAGACUGCCUGGAUAGCAGACCUUCAAGACACACCACCUAAUGCAGAAGACUGUAGAACAACUGUGGUUACUCAGUAACAAGGGAAAAAGGUGGAAGAACCAUCAAAAGAUGACAAGAAAAGAAUACUCGCAAGACCAUCUCAUACUCCAUGCAAUGUAGAGCAGCUGUGAUCAACUAGUUUGCUUCCAGGCCCCUAAAUUUCAAUACAUGUUGUGCUUUGAUGGUGCCUUGAGAUGCACUGAAAUAUACCUUGACAGACCCUUGAAGCAAAAGGAAAAUGAAAUGAAGAUGCCUGAAGAUAUUUGGAAAAUAAAACCUUGAAAUACUACAUGUUGUUGAAAUCAGUGUGAAUAUAUCCUUUGCAAAACAUCAUGUCAAACUAUUAUAUGUCAAUAGAGAUUGAAAUAUUGUUAAUGCAGAUCACUUACAUGAAAUUUUACCAGUAUGCCUGUGAAUUGCCUCCUGGGAUAUGUAUUUAAAAUAUUGCUUGAAAAAUUCUGCAUAGGAAGCAGUAAGUUUUAUAUAAUAAUGACUAUGGGGGGAAAGUAAGCUCCAUUUUAAGAGGUUUUCCAUAUAUUUACCGAUAUACUUUGGGCAGGAAUCCAAAGAAAAACUAAAGUGCAUGCUAAUUUCUUUUUUAAAAGCUUUCCCACAACACCAAAUAAAGUGCAGGUCAAAAAAUUGGUGAAAUUAUGUCCUAUUUUCCCUCAUUCUGUACCAGAAAUUCCAAAUU
Non-coding RNA from Zootoca vivipara (common lizard), 1649 nucleotides. The record is from RefSeq and is a predicted model, not a curated record. Lineage: Eukaryota; Metazoa; Chordata; Lepidosauria; Squamata; Lacertidae.